RNAcentral lists this ribosomal RNA (288 nucleotides) under Escherichia coli. RNAcentral describes it as "partial 23S ribosomal RNA". It matches the Rfam family "Bacterial large subunit ribosomal RNA", at positions 905 to 1191 of the family's 2925-position model. The record is from RNAcentral. Lineage: Bacteria; Pseudomonadati; Pseudomonadota; Gammaproteobacteria; Enterobacterales; Enterobacteriaceae.
GAGCACUGUUUCGGCAAGGGGGUCAUCCCGACUUACCAACCCGAUGCAAACUGCGAAUACCGGAGAAUGUUAUCACGGGAGACACACGGCGGGUGCUAACGUCCGUCGUGAAGAGGGAAACAACCCAGACCGCCAGCUAAGGUCCCAAAGUCAUGGUUAAGUGGGAAACGAUGUGGGAAGGCCCAGACAGCCAGGAUGUUGGCUUAGAAGCAGCCAUCAUUUAAAGAAAGCGUAAUAGCUCACUGGUCGAGUCGGCCUGCGCGGAAGAUGUAACGGGGCUAAACCAUG